GAUGAAGAACGUAGCGAAAUGCGAUAAGUAAUGUGAAUUGCAGAAUUUAGUGAAUCAUCGAAUCUUUGAACGCACAUUGCGCCCGCCGGCACUCCGGCGGGCACGCCCGUCCGAGCGUCGCUUUACCACACUCGGGGUAUCCGCCACUGGGCGGAGCCCCCGGCCUUGGGCACCCGCGGUCACGCCCGUGGGCCCCGAAACACAGCGGCGGUGGCGCCUGUAGCGUCCUCUGCGUAGUACACGCUCGCACCGGACCUCUUGCGCGGCCAGCCCUGCGGCUCACCCCGCAGAACACACCAAAGGUUGACCUCGGAUCGGGCGGGGCUACCCGCUGAACUUAAGCAUAUCAAUAAGCGGAGGA
Molecule: unclassified non-coding RNA, 361 nt
Filed under: soil metagenome
Description: partial contains 5.8S ribosomal RNA, internal transcribed spacer 2, and large subunit ribosomal RNA
Rfam family: 5.8S ribosomal RNA (bases 1-120)
Source: RNAcentral